AUUUGUCUGGUUAAUUCCGAUAACGAACGAGACCUUAACCUGCUAACUAGAUUCAUUAGUAUUACUCUUGCAAUCUUCUUAGAGGGACUAUGUAAAACAAAUACAUGGAAGUUUGAGGCAAUAACAGGUCAGUGAUGCCCUUAUAUGUCCUGGGCUGCACGCGUGCUACACUGAUGCAUACAACAAGUGCCUAACCAGACAUGGUAUGGCAAUCUCGAAUAUGCAUCGUGAUGGGGAUAGAUCUUUGCAAUUAUAGAUCUUGAACGAGGAAUUCCUAGUAAGUGCAAGUCAUCAUCUUGCAUUGAUUAUGUCCCUGCCCUUUGUACACACCGCCCGUCGCUCCUACCGAUACCGGGUGAUCCGGUGAACCUUUUGGACUCUUUACUGGGAAAGAUAAGUAAACCAUAUCACCUAGAGGAAGGAGAAGUCGUAACAAGGUUUCCGUAGGUGAACCUGCRGAAGGAUCA
This 467-nucleotide ribosomal RNA is filed under the name uncultured ciliate. RNAcentral describes it as "SSU rRNA". It matches the Rfam family "Eukaryotic small subunit ribosomal RNA". Lineage: Eukaryota; Ciliophora. The record is from RNAcentral.